RNAcentral lists this ribosomal RNA (758 nucleotides) under uncultured bacterium. RNAcentral describes it as "bacterial SSU rRNA". It matches the Rfam family "Bacterial small subunit ribosomal RNA", at positions 8 to 796 of the family's 1533-position model. The record is from RNAcentral.
AGAGUUUGAUCCUGGCUCAGGAUGAACGCUGGCGGUAUGCUUAACACAUGCAAGUCGAACGGGGGUAGAAAUACCCUAGUGGCGGACGGGUGAGUAACGCGUGAGAAUCUACCAACAGGAUGGGGAUAACAGAGGGAAACCGCUGCUAAUACCCAAUGUGCCGAAGGAUAAAAUCUAAGGUGAAAGAUUAAUUACCUGUUGAGGAGCUCGCGUCCGAUUAGCUAGUUGGUGGGGUAAGAGCCUACCAAGGCAUCGAUCGGUAGCUGGUCUGAGAGGACGAUCAGCCACACUGGGACUGAGACACGGCCCAGACUCCUACGGGAGGCAGCAGUGGGGAAUUUUCCGCAAUGGGCGAAAGCCUGACGGAGCAAUACCGCGUGAGGGAGGAAGGCUCUUGGGUUGUAAACCUCUUUUCUCAGGGAAGAACAAAAUGACGGUACCUGAGGAAUAAGCAUCGGCUAACUCCGUGCCAGCAGCCGCGGUAAUACGGAGGAUGCAAGCGUUAUCCGGAAUCAUUGGGCGUAAAGCGUCCGUAGGUGGCUAAUCAAGUCUGCCGUCAAAGACCGUAGCUCAACUACGGAAAGGCGGUGGAAACUGAUAAGCUAGAGUGCAGUAGGGGUAGAGGGAAUUCCCAGUGUAGCGGUGAAAUGCGUAGAGAUUGGGAAGAACACCGGUGGCGAAAGNNCUCUGCUGGACUGCAACUGACACUCAUGGACGAAAGCUAGGGGAGCGAAUGGGAUUAGAUACCCUAGUAGUCC